UCUCAUGGACUUUCAUGCCUGAGCUGGCUUCAAACGGUGAUCCUCAGAUCUCAGCCUCCCGAGUAGCUAGGAUUAUAGGCCCGAGCCACCAGCACCCAGCCCAAUCUUAUCUUUCUGAGAUGUCUCUAGUCACCUGCCUCAUAACAAUGCCCUGUCCAGGGUGCUGUAAGCACAUAUGCGAGGUGGGCCCAUGGCACUGUGGCCUGGUGACCUCGCAGCUUGUGACGUGCGCACAGUGACAGAAUUGUCUAAUGAUGCUCUCUGAGUGCAUCCUGUUGCUAAGCAACAUAAACUGGUCCUGUACACAGAUCUCACAAUGCACAGGGUCUACACAGGAAGUGGGAACAUCUAAGACACAUAAAUCUACAUUUAAUGAGAGAAUCGGCAAACACUCUUCCUGGAAGGAGGGCAUGGCCAAAGGUUUAGAGACCAAUGUUUCAGUUGUGUAAAGGUGGAACCCGGCCUAAAUAUAAACUGCCAGAUUACUUAUAACUCAGUCACACAAAGAAGAGCCAUGAGGGUGGAUCCCAAGCCAACAGGGGC
Long non-coding RNA from Perognathus longimembris pacificus (Pacific pocket mouse), 543 nucleotides. RefSeq lists it as uncharacterized. NCBI's taxonomy places the organism in Eukaryota, Metazoa, Chordata, Mammalia, Rodentia, Heteromyidae. The transcript is spliced from 3 exons. The record is from RefSeq and is a predicted model, not a curated record.